Long non-coding RNA from Zeugodacus cucurbitae (melon fly), 3441 nucleotides. RefSeq lists it as uncharacterized. The record is from RefSeq and is a predicted model, not a curated record. NCBI's taxonomy places the organism in Eukaryota, Metazoa, Arthropoda, Insecta, Diptera, Tephritidae. The transcript has 5 exons.
GAUUUAACCCUUACAUUUAUUCAAAAAUUCAAUUAUUGAAAUUCAAAAGUAAACAAAUUUCAAACCAGAAAAAAAUUUUUAAAUGAAGAAAAUAAAAUUCCGAAUACUUUCUGCUUAUGCAAACAACUCAUGGAAGCAAUUUACUAGUGUUUUGUGCUCCAACUGACAAAUUGCAAAAAAUUUUAUCAAUAUAUAUUACAUUGUUCAAGAUAAAAAAGACGAGUUAAUGUAAACAAAUACAUGAAGUGCUGAACACAAAGACGACGACACGACACGACGCACAUAGGAGCAUUUACCCUCAAAAACCGGACAAAAUUGAAAAUUACAAAAUUCAACGAUGGUACUCAAAAUUGUUUUUUUUUUGGUACAUAAAUAACCGGUCUACAAUGAACAGAUCAAAUGAAUGACCUUCAGGCCGCUAUAUUGCCAUACAAGUAGUCGAAACCUAGACUUCGUUCAGAACGCACAUGAUUAUUCGCGAAACUCUCCAUUGUUCUCGAGAUUGUAAGUGGUUUUUUUUAUGCGUGAACGGAAUUCUUGGAAAUAUUUGUUAUGGAUUCAGGACAGCAUGGUUCAAAAUCAAAAGUUAUAGAGAUGUCUCGAAAGACAUUAUAUAUGCUUUGUAGGGAAAGCGCUGCGAGAAAAUGGGAAGAUAAAACGUCAUAUAUGAAAAAAAAGCUUCAAGAAAUGAUGAAGUGUCCAGAAGGCGAAUUUCAAACUUUAAGUAAUGAUUUAAUGAAGUAAUGAUUUGUCCAGUUAUACUGAAGAAAGAUUUGUCAAAAAAUACGAAGAAUGGCUUAACGCUUCCAUUUUAGUACACAAUUGGACGCCGAAUACAAACUCUGGGCGCCCAAGCAUACAAUUCCAAGAGUUGUCUGAUCGUAGUAAACGCCGGAACACUAAAGACCUUCGCGAGCAGAUACCUGUCCAGGAGCUUACUUACGCAGCUAGCGUUAGUCAAAGGAUGUCAGGUAAUGCUGCUGCGUCUAAACUUAUAAUAGACGUAACUUCUACACCUACAAGAGCCAUAAAAUACAAAAAAUAAUAGAAGCUCAGAAGUAUACAGGGAAAGGUCUGGACUAUUAAUAGACAUGCCAAAAGCUGGUUUCGGAAAUUCUAAUUCGGGUAACACAUCUCGAAGAUUCUUCAGCGAUCCAGAUUUAGCUGCUGAAAUUACAGGAAUAAAAAAAGAUUUCAUAAUCAAACUUAAGGUCAUUCUAGAAGCAAUGUCAUCUGUCCAUAAAAUUGAUGUAAUGAAAUUUCAAAUCUUUUGCAAAGAUACAGCAAAAAUGUACGUGGAGAACUACUCCUGGCAUCCAAUGACGCCCACUCUUCAUAAAAUACUUGCACAUGGCCCAACAAUCAUAAAACACGCUAUCUUACCUAUCGGUCAGUUAUCAGAAGAGGCAGCGGAGGCUCGAAACAAGCAUUAUCGUCUAUAUCGACAAGACUUUGCAAGAAAAUUUUCACGGGUUCAGUGCAACCAAGAUGUUUAAACAGGCUUCUUCUCACAUCUGAUCCAUUUUUAAUUUGCCAGCGAAAACGUCAGCGAAGCAAAAGCCAACCCUUCUUGAGUGAAACUAUAAAGCUCUUCGAGUCACAGGAACCAGAGGUCCACAUCGACACUCAAACAGGGUUGCCUGAACAUUCUGAUGAAUCAGAAGAGCCUUUGUAACAACACACACGGAUGAGUUCUUCUUUUUUUGUUAUAAUUUUAUUUUAUCAUUUUAUUUGAAUAUAUAUUCAAUAUAAAAUGUUCGGUUGCACCCGAAAUUAGCCCUUCCUUACUUGUUUUAUUUUAAUAUAUUGCAUUAUUAUAUUCAAUCAUGCAUUUUCAUCCAUAAAAUCACUUAAAAUAAUUUUGUCCGGUUUUUGAGGGUAAAUGCUCCUAUGUGCGACGUAGCGACGGCUGACCACAAAUGUCGCUUUGAAGUCAGCGUAUUGAACAUUUUGAAGACGGCAGCGACAUAUCAAACAGCAAUUUCAUUGUUGCCGUACUAACAUCUUUCACUUCAAUAAAAUUUACAUAUUUACCCAGCAAGUCAUGGGUACUGAAACUCCAACACAUUCAAAGAAAUUUUAAUAACACCACUACACACACACAUACACAACAAAGGGUAAAAUGUGCAUAAACAUUUAACUCAACUCUUCUCUCAUACAGCACCCUGAAUGAUAGAAAGAAACCACCAAAGUUCUCGUGUUUGAACAAGUUUUGUUUUGAGCUAUAUCAUGGCUGCUUGUGAAGUAUUAUUUUGCGUGCUUUAUUUAAUUCAGUGAUCUGUAGCCUAAUUAAUGUAUAAAUUAUUGAAGCACGCAUUUUUAAAUAAGUAAAACGUAAAAUAAAAGUUUUCUAAGGCCAAAAUAUGGAAUUGAAGAGGGUGAUACAGUAAUACUUCAUUGCACUAUCAAUUCGAAGCACGCAAUAGAAGCUACGCCAACAAUGGUCAACAUCAGUGGCGAAACCAUUGAAUACAUAUUUCAAACCUCAUAUGGCGCGUUAAAGGUACGCAAACUUAUUGGUGUCACUUAUUGUAGCAGCGUAGAACUUUCGAAGCGAUGGAAUAUGUGCUCCAAGCAAAUCCAAAACUAUGGACGCAAACGCUGCUACAUGGAACACAAAUCAUUCACACACCAGAUAUUACGUUUAAUGUCACUUUUUUGCGUGCAAUUAAACCUUUUGGUCAACACAAGCACGAGAAUUGGAACGACAUGGUUUAGGUGUUUUUGAAACCGUUUAUUAUCACGACGUGUGUCAACUGGAUUUUGCCAAUGAGCUAGAGGGCAAAGCAGUUUCAGUAUCUUUGAGCUUACUGGCACUUGGUCGUGCCAUUAGCAGCUAAAACACAGAAAUUAAAGGGAGAACUUUUUUGAUUCAUUUUCACCUUGUAUUGAGGAAUCAUAACGUUGUUGUAUCGCUUUACAAGGACAUAAAUUCACCGAAUUUAGUUCAAUGGAAAUACUACAGCAAGAGCAUGGAUGUUAAGACUUGAACGGUGGCGUGUUAGAUUUAGAAUUCCUGAAACAUAAGAAACCCUCCUCCCAGAUGAAUCUAGUACUAGUAAAAUUAAUGAAAGAACAGAUCUUAUAAAAACUCCGAAAGAAACCAAAAGAGUCCUCACAUAAUGUGCGCAGCUUACACUUCCAGACCGCACGGGGUAUUUGACAUUUUCCACUCUUCCUCCAGCCUUUGUCCGAUAGCAAAAAUUGUUCAAAUAUUCAUUUUCACCUACUUUAUACAUAUGUAUAUAGUGUAGUACGAUAAUAUAUGUAUAAAGUAAAUAUAAUAAUAAACAACUAAAUGGCAUGAUAUUUUCAAUAAAUAUGUAAUAUAAUUAAUGAUUUUGUUAUUAAAUUCUCAUUUGGGAUUUUGGUAGAACUAACCGAAAACAGAGAGUAUAGUUUCUGGGCUUUUGUGGGUCGCAGUACUGAAAGUGCACGUGG